GGAGCCGAUGCAAAAGCACUGGAAACAAUGGUGAAAAAGUACGCAGACAACUCGGCAGCCGACUCACUGGUUGCUGGUCAAAUGGACUUGACACCUCUUGUCGAUAAGAAACAAAUGGAAU
RNAcentral lists this small RNA (121 nucleotides) under Caenorhabditis elegans. RNAcentral's name for it is "Unclassified non-coding RNA Y54E10A.30". The record is from RNAcentral. Lineage: Eukaryota; Metazoa; Nematoda; Chromadorea; Rhabditida; Rhabditidae.